GACGAACGCUGGCGGCGUGCUUAACACAUGCAAGUCGAACGGAAAGGCCCUGCUUUUGUGGGGUGCUCGAGUGGCGAACGGGUGAGUAACACGUGAGUAACCCGCCCCUGACUUUGGGAUAACUCCAGGAAAAUGGGGCUAAUACCGGAUAGGAGCUCCUGCUGCACGGUGGGGGUUGGAAAGUUUCGGCGGUUGGGGAUGGACUCGCGGCUUAUCAGCUUGUUGGUGGGGUAGUGGCUUACCAAGGCUUCGACGGGUAGCCGGCCUGAGAGGGUGACCGGCCACAUUGGGACUGCGAUACGGCCCAGACUCCUACGGGAGGCAGCAGUGGGAAAUCUUGCGCAAUGGGCGGGAGCCUGAUGCAGCAACGCCGCGUGCGGGAUGACGGCCUUCGGGUUGUAAACCGCUUUCGCCUGUGACGAAGCGUGAGUGACGGUAAUGGGUAAAGAAGCACCGGCUAACUACGUG
RNAcentral lists this ribosomal RNA (468 nucleotides) under uncultured bacterium. Its description in RNAcentral is "partial 16S ribosomal RNA". It matches the Rfam family "Bacterial small subunit ribosomal RNA", at positions 28 to 507 of the family's 1533-position model. The record is from RNAcentral.